Molecule: ribosomal RNA, 384 nt
Filed under: Bacteroidetes bacterium oral taxon 272
Lineage: Bacteria; Pseudomonadati; Bacteroidota
Description: bacterial SSU rRNA
Rfam family: Bacterial small subunit ribosomal RNA
Source: RNAcentral
GAUGAACGCUAGCUACAGGCUUAACACAUGCAAGUCGUGGGGCAUCAUGAUGUAGUAAUACAUUGAUGGCGACCGGCGCACGGGUGAGUAACGCGUAUCCAACCUACCCUCCACUCAAGUAUAGGCUUCCGAAAGGGAGAUUAAUCCUUGAUAUCGUCAUUCUCUCUCCUGUUAGAAUGAUAAAAGGACAUCGUUUCGGUAGAGGAUGGGGAUGCGUUCCAUUAGGUAGUAGGUGGUUUAACAGGCCACCUAGCCGAUGAUGGAUAGGGGUUCUGAGAGGAAUAUCCCCCACACUGGUACUGAGAUACGGACCAGACUCCUACGGGAGGCAGCAGUGAGGAAUAUUGGUCAAUGGGCGCAAGCCUGAACCAGCCAUGUAGCGUG